Molecule: long non-coding RNA, 296 nt
Organism: Syngnathus acus (greater pipefish)
Lineage: Eukaryota; Metazoa; Chordata; Actinopteri; Syngnathiformes; Syngnathidae
Exons: 5
Source: RefSeq, a predicted model, not a curated record
AACUAUAAAAGCAGCACGCAGCCUUUCUCGCUCUCUUUUCUAGAACAAAUCUCGGGUAGUGAAGACGAGGCUAGUGGACGAAAGGAAUGUGUUAGGCUCGUGACUGUCUGAGGACUACAAAUCAAAGGUGGAAAGUCUUCAGUGGAAAUCAUCAGUUUUGUCAAGUGUUUGAGGCUGACACUUUGGGUCUUUGGAUGUCACCUGGAGCUGUUUCAUGCUAGCUUGAGUGCUUUUAAUGCAACUUGGACUGUCUGUAAUGUAAUUUGUAUUUGUUAAUAAAAUAUUUUUUAACUCAA